Molecule: long non-coding RNA, 542 nt
Organism: Bacillus rossius redtenbacheri
Lineage: Eukaryota; Metazoa; Arthropoda; Insecta; Phasmatodea; Bacillidae
Exons: 3
Source: RefSeq, a predicted model, not a curated record
UGGCCUGCACUGCAAAUGGGUCCUCGAAUGCGAUAUGUGCCACAGGGAAUAUGAAAUACAAAAUGUAAGAUCUGGAAGCAGUGUUAUAAACACGUCAGGCGCUUGGGCAGCCUUGUCAUCAGGAGUUGGUUUCUCUCAGUUUGAGAACACAUUAAGUGUGUUGAAUGUUCCUUCCAUGAGUCAAAACACAUUUCUCAAGGAAGAAUGCCUCAUAGAAAAGAUACUGGAAGCUGACUUGUACUCGAGCAUGAAAGAAGCGGGCAAGGAAGAAAGAGAACAAGCUAUUCGAAAUGGUGACAUCGAUGAUGACGGAAUCCCCUUCAUUACUGUGACCGUGGAUGGCGGAUGGGCCAAGCGUAGCUAUGGACACAACUACAACUCCUCAUCUGGGGUGGCAGUUAUAAUAGGCCAACAUACGGGAAAACUUCUCUUUAUGGGCGUCAGGAAUAAGUACUGUUGUAUUUGUGAACGAGCCAUUACAGAACAGAAGGAAGCGAAACAACACUUGUGUUAUAAAAAUUGGGGCAAAACAAGACCAUCAA